RNAcentral lists this ribosomal RNA (2788 nucleotides) under Salmonella enterica subsp. enterica serovar Cubana str. CVM42234. Its description in RNAcentral is "bacterial LSU rRNA". It matches the Rfam family "Bacterial large subunit ribosomal RNA". Lineage: Bacteria; Pseudomonadati; Pseudomonadota; Gammaproteobacteria; Enterobacterales; Enterobacteriaceae. The record is from RNAcentral.
GGGUUGUGAGGUUAAGCGACUAAGCGUACACGGUGGAUGCCCUGGCAGUCAGAGGCGAUGAAGGGCGUGCUAAUCUGCGAUAAGCGCCGGUAAGGUGAUAUGAACCGUUAUAACCGGCGAUACCCGAAUGGGGAAACCCAGUGUGACUCGUCACACUAUCAUUAACUGAAUCCAUAGGUUAAUGAGGCGAACCGGGGGAACUGAAACAUCUAAGUACCCCGAGGAAAAGAAAUCAACCGAGAUUCCCCCAGUAGCGGCGAGCGAACGGGGAGGAGCCCAGAGCCUGAAUCAGCAUGUGUGUUAGUGGAAGCGUCUGGAAAGGCGCGCGAUACAGGGUGACAGCCCCGUACACAAAAGCGCAUGUGCUGUGAGCUCGAUGAGUAGGGCGGGACACGUGGUAUCCUGUCUGAAUAUGGGGGGACCAUCCUCCAAGGCUAAAUACUCCUGACUGACCGAUAGUGAACCAGUACCGUGAGGGAAAGGCGAAAAGAACCCCGGCGAGGGGAGUGAAAAAGAACCUGAAACCGUGUACGUACAAGCAGUGGGAGCNNGUGACUGCGUACCUUUUGUAUAAUGGGUCAGCGACUUAUAUUCUGUAGCAAGGUUAACCGCAUAGGGGAGCCGGAGGGAAACCGAGUCUUAAUUGGGCGUUAAGUUGCAGGGUAUAGACCCGAAACCCGGUGAUCUAGCCAUGGGCAGGUUGAAGGUUGGGUAACACUAACUGGAGGACCGAACCGACUAAUGUUGAAAAAUUAGCGGAUGACCUGUGGCUGGGGGUGAAAGGCCAAUCAAACCGGGAGAUAGCUGGUUCUCCCCGAAAGCUAUUUAGGUAGCGCCUCGUGAAUUCAUCUCCGGGGGUAGAGCACUGUUUCGGCUAGGGGGCCAUCCCGGCUUACCAACCCGAUGCAAACUGCGAAUACCGGAGAAUGUUAUCACGGGAGACACACGGCGGGUGCUAACGUCCGUCGUGAAGAGGGAAACAACCCAGACCGCCAGCUAAGGUCCCAAAGUCAUGGUUAAGUGGGAAACGAUGUGGGAAGGCCCAGACAGCCAGGAUGUUGGCUUAGAAGCAGCCAUCAUUUAAAGAAAGCGUAAUAGCUCACUGGUCGAGUCGGCCUGCGCGGAAGAUGUAACGGGGCUAAACCAUGCACCGAAGCUGCGGCAGCGANNGUUGGGUAGGGGAGCGUUCUGUAAGCCUGUGAAGGUGGCCUGUGAGGGUUGCUGGAGGUAUCAGAAGUGCGAAUGCUGACAUAAGUAACGAUAAAGCGGGUGAAAAGCCCGCUCGCCGGAAGACCAAGGGUUCCUGUCCAACGUUAAUCGGGGCAGGGUGAGUCGACCCCUAAGGCGAGGCCGAAAGGCGUAGUCGAUGGGAAACGGGUUAAUAUUCCCGUACUUGGUGUUACUGCGAAGGGGGGACGGAGAAGGCUAUGUUGGCCGGGCGACGGUUGUCCCGGUUUAAGCGUGUAGGUGUGUGUUCCAGGUAAAUCCGGUUCACUUUAACACUGAGGCGUGAUGACGAGGCACUACGGUGCUGAAGCAACAAAUGCCCUGCUUCCAGGAAAAGCCUCUAAGCAUCAGGUAACAUCAAAUCGUACCCCAAACCGACACAGGUGGUCAGGUAGAGAAUACCAAGGCGCUUGAGAGAACUCGGGUGAAGGAACUAGGCAAAAUGGUGCCGUAACUUCGGGAGAAGGCACGCUGACAUGUAGGUGAAGUGAUUUACUCACGGAGCUGAAGUCAGUCGAAGAUACCAGCUGGCUGCAACUGUUUAUUAAAAACACAGCACUGUGCAAACACGAAAGUGGACGUAUACGGUGUGACGCCUGCCCGGUGCCGGAAGGUUAAUUGAUGGGGUCAGCGCAAGCGAAGCUCCUGAUCGAAGCCCCGGUAAACGGCGGCCGUAACUAUAACGGUCCUAAGGUAGCGAAAUUCCUUGUCGGGUAAGUUCCGACCUGCACGAAUGGCGUAAUGAUGGCCAGGCUGUCUCCACCCGAGACUCAGUGAAAUUGAACUCGCUGUGAAGAUGCAGUGUACCCGCGGCAAGACGGAAAGACCCCGUGAACCUUUACUAUAGCUUGACACUGAACAUUGAGCCUUGAUGUGUAGGAUAGGUGGGAGGCUUUGAAGUGUGGACGCCAGUCUGCAUGGAGCCGACCUUGAAAUACCACCCUUUAAUGUUUGAUGUUCUAACGUGGACCCGUUACCCGGGUUGCGGACAGUGUCUGGUGGGUAGUUUGACUGGGGCGGUCUCCUCCUAAAGAGUAACGGAGGAGCACGAAGGUUGGCUAAUCCUGGUCGGACAUCAGGAGGUUAGUGCAAUGGCAUAAGCCAGCUUGACUGCGAGCGUGACGGCGCGAGCAGGUGCGAAAGCAGGUCAUAGUGAUCCGGUGGUUCUGAAUGGAAGGGCCAUCGCUCAACGGAUAAAAGGUACUCCGGGGAUAACAGGCUGAUACCGCCCAAGAGUUCAUAUCGACGGCGGUGUUUGGCACCUCGAUGUCGGCUCAUCACAUCCUGGGGCUGAAGUAGGUCCCAAGGGUAUGGCUGUUCGCCAUUUAAAGUGGUACGCGAGCUGGGUUUAGAACGUCGUGAGACAGUUCGGUCCCUAUCUGCCGUGGGCGCUGGAGAACUGAGGGGGGCUGCUCCUAGUACGAGAGGACCGGAGUGGACGCAUCACUGGUGUUCGGGUUGUCAUGCCAAUGGCACUGCCCGGUAGCUAAAUGCGGAAGAGAUAAGUGCUGAAAGCAUCUAAGCACGAAACUUGCCCCGAGAUGAGUUCUCCCUGAGACUU